This 95-nucleotide non-coding RNA is filed under the name Streptomyces xiamenensis. Its description in RNAcentral is "Glycine sequence". It matches the Rfam family "Glycine riboswitch aptamer". Rfam says of the family: This family represents the bacterial glycine riboswitch. Lineage: Bacteria; Bacillati; Actinomycetota; Actinomycetes; Kitasatosporales; Streptomycetaceae. The record is from RNAcentral.
CGACCACGCGCGGGAGAGUUCCCGGUCCAGCACCGGGGCGCCGAAGGAGCAAGUCCUCCCUUGAAUCUCUCAGGCCCCGAUACCGCGCGCGGAAG